UUGUAUGUCACAUCAGACCAAAUUUGGUAUAUGCCAGAUUUGGCAUAUUCCAUUUAUGGAAUUAUCCCACAAUAGAAUUAACACACCACACAAAAUUAAAUCACCACAGUAAUUAAUUUGACAAGGGGUUCCCACUAGUCAUAGACACCAGGGGCCCGUAGUGCAUGACUCGUGGGCCUUGUGGCCCACUUGUCAGUGGCACAACUACAGAACACAAUAGAGAAAUAAAAGGGGAGUGUCGAGCCCACCACCUCCUGCUCUAACCAUAGUGCCCCCACCAUUGGGCUACACUAAUGUAGCUGCACUAACAGGGGGACGCGCCUUGCCUGCGGCUGCUGCGUGCGCCCAUCCGUGCGACCCAGCCAUCGCACGACUGUGGCUCCAUGCACGCCACGCUCCAGAAUUCCUGCGAAAAAAUAAAACAAAAUACACAUCCUAAUACAGAUUUUUUUCCGUAAUAUUCUCAUCAUUAAAACAAAAAGCAAAACUGGAGGGAACAAUCCAAUCUCCCGCCUUCUUGCGAAUAGAUCCACAACAUAUACAAAAGCGCGCCAAAAUGCAAAUCUGUAGUCUAUAGUUCAUAGGAGGCAGGAGCGACCUACGGUCUUACUACAAUCAAUAGCGGCCUUUCUUGAAUUGAGCAGCAAAGUAAUCCACGUCCCUAAUGGCAUCUCCAAGUCUUGCGUCCCCCAUGGCUUCUCCAAGGAGUGGUCCGAGGAACCAGGAGGGUGACGAUCAAUCUCACACACCGAAAGUAAGAAACCUGACUCAGUUCUUGACGGUGAAUCUUUCAAUUAACUGCGUCAUGAUCUCGAGUGUUGGACGGGAAAAAGCAGCAUGAUGCACCCUUGUACAGCUUCUACAAAAACCGAUCAUAACCUGCAGAUGCCAAACAUCGUGGAUCAUAAGAUUGCAGUCUCUCUCCCCCUCCCCUCCCCUCCAAGCAUCAAAUCCAUGGCGCUGACGCUCCGGUCGACGACGUCCUUCCUCUCGCUCCCUCGACCCCUCCUCCAAGCUCCUCCACAAGCCUGACGCGCCGCCCUGUCGUGUGACCGGUUGAGGCGCCGGUCAUGGCCAAGCAGUUGCACAGCCAGGUCCGGCAAGCGCAGGCGGGCCACAGCCACAAGCCCGACGAGCCACCCUGUCGUGUGGCCGGUUGAGACGCCGGUCAUGGCCAAGCUGCUGCACAACCAGGUCCGGCAAGCGCAGGCGGGCCGCUGCCAGCCAAGCCAUGCUCCACGCUUGUGAGCGGCGACGUACGUCUGGCCUGCUGCAUGAAUGGGCGGCCGGAGGGGCGAUGGAGAUUGAGCUUCACCUCGAGCUUCAGUUCAAACAGAAGGGGAAAGAUGUGGAUAGGAGUGUAUUAUGGAAAAGAAUCUGUAUUAGGAUGUGUAUUUUAUUUUAUUUUUUCGCAGGCGCGUGCGUGAGUCACAGCCGUGCGAUGUCUGGGUCGCACGUAGCAGCCUAACAGGGGAAGCAAGUCCACGUAUACUGACUAUCUUGCCAAGUGCACACAGGGGAAAAUCCCUAAAAUAUAAAAGGAGCGCCAGGGCUCAAACCCUUGACCCACUCCACUGCGGUGGUUCUGUUGCCAGUGCGGUAGGCUGCGGGUGAUUGCUAUAACAGAGGAACAAAAGCACUUAUAUAUACUCAGCUAGCUGAAUCACAGAAUGGAAAAACAACGAAUAAAAGUGGGCGCUGGGAGUUGAACCCAAGACCUCACGGUUUGCGCGCAGAGAACAAACGAGCUGGGCUACUGGGUGGAUCUACCAAAGGAGGGGAUCCACACUAGCUGAAGUGAACAAAGGGGUUCAUGCUCUGUUUUACAGAGAGACGCCGGUGACGACUCUCACCGAAGCUACGCAGGCACACAGACGCGGGCAGCUACGCGGGGAACUGCUACGCUGAACUACGCUCUACGAGCUACAGAUCAGAGAGAAACACGAGCCAUGCAUGCACACAUGCACUACGCGUGCAACUGCGCUCUGCAUCGUCGGAGAAACUACGACAAGCUGCAGCUACGCGGGGCGGCGAGGCUAGCAGGGAGAGAGGUCAAGGGGAGCGGGGCGUUGCUCACCCAGGGGCGGAGAAGAGGGGUUCUGGGGAUGGCGAGGAACAGCGGCGACGCUCUCCUGUAGAAGAUGCUCGCCGGAGGAGGCCGAAGUAGUGGACGUCGGCGACAUUGUGGUAGAAGACCUUGGCGUCCGAUCUCUUCGGGAAUGGAUCUCCCUUAGCGUCUGCAUGCUCCUCGUGCAGUGGGGGAAGAAGAGGGGCGACGCUACACCGGCGAUGAGCUGGAGCUGGAGCAGGAGCUGUCCAUGGUGACGGCGAUGCUCGGGAGCUCACCCCGACGGCGAUAGGGGGAGAGGAGGAUGGCAUCGGUGCGACUAGGGCUAGAGAAGAGCUGGGGCGGCUUUAUAGGCUCGAUCCACGCACUUGGAGCCGUCGAUCGAGAGAAAAAGAAAGAUCGGCAGCGGCCACACUCUUCAUACAGUGGUGACGUAGGGAGGUGGACGUAGGGCUCUCGAGCUGGGCUCUGGGCCGAAAGACACAUCACAUGGGCCGACUACUCUCCCUCUCUCCUUUAAAAUCUUUUGCAAAUAAAACAUGACAACCUGGUUGAUUAAAUCACACGGCCUUAAAGGAAAAGAUUUAAAACAAAAUAAAAUAGUUGUGGUCUUCUAAAAUCAUGACACAAUUUAUAAAAAUAAAUUGGGCAUUUUGAAGAGGAAAAUAAAUGUCUUUUAUUUUAAAUAAGACUCUAGUUUUAAAUAAAAACCAAAAAUAAAAUAGGUUCAACCAAAGGGGGGGCAUACCAAAAUUAAUAAGAAGAUUUUUAGAAGGGGAGGAACUUUUUAUUGGGGCAAAAACAGUAACUUAUAAAUCUGCCUCUAAUAUAAUUGGAAAGGAUGGAGUUUUGAUACUAUGGUGCAACAAGGGGUUUUUAGGUGGAUCUUGUUGCACCCAAUCGUAUGCAAACACAAAGGCACAUCCACACAUUGCACUCACACUUCAUACCAAGGUGCAACACAAGCAACACAAGACAAGAACAAAAUGAAAUGAUGCUAUGCAUGAUGUCGUGAUGCAACAUAAAAUGAAGACACUAUUAAGCUCAUACCACUUUGAUCAACAUAGCAAGGUUUUCAUACAAGGAAAUAUGUACAAAAGGGGAAGGCAUUGCAUUGGGGCUCUUACAACUCUCCCACACUACAAGAGGAUCUCGACCAGAGAUCUAUGAUUGGAAGAACUCAGGGUAUUCGGAACAGAGUAGGUCCUCAUGCUUCCAAGUGGCUUCUUUGUCGGAAUGAUGUGACCGUUGCACUUUGAGGAACUUGAUGGACUUAUUGCGGGUCUUGCGCUCAGUCUCUUCAAGAAUUGAUAUAGGAUGAUCAUGGUAGUAUAGGUCGGGCUGGAGAUCAAUAUCUUGGAGGUCAACUGUGCACUCGGUAGUCUUGAAGCAUCUCCGGAGCUGAGAGACAUGAAACACAUCAUGCACAUUGGAGAAAUUGGAUGGAAUAUCUAACUAAUAUGCAAGAUCACCUCCCUUGUCAACAACUUUGAAAGGACCAACAAAGCGAGGAGGAAGCGUUCCUUUGAUGCUGAAGCGUUGAGUGCCCUUCAUGGGAGACACUUUGAGAGACACAAAAUCAUCGAGCGGAAAAGUCAUGUCAUGAUGCUUGCUAUCGUAGUAGCUAUUCUGGCGGGACUAGGCUGCUUUGAGAUUAUCCCAAAUGACACGACACAUUUCUUCUGCUUCGGCGAUCAUGUCAUUACCAAGAAUCUGACGCUCACCAGUCUCAGACUAAUUGAUUGGGGUACGACACUUCCUGCCAUAUAGAAUCUCGAAUGGGGCCUUUCCUGAGCCUGCUCGAAAGUUGUUGUUGUAUGAGAAAUCGACAAACGGUAGGCAGCCUUCCACUUCAUGCCAAAAGAAGUCACACAAGCUCUGAGUAUAUCUUCAAGAAUUUGAUUGACUCUCUCAACUUGACCACUUGUUUGAGGAUGGAAGGUUGUGCUGAAACGGAUCUUAGUACCCAUCGCAGUCUAAAAGGAGUCCCAGAACUUCGAAGUAAAGAGGCUUCCACGAUCUAAAGAAAUGAGCAUUGGAACACCAUGCAAAGCGACUAUCCUUGACGUAUACAACUCUGCAAGAUGAGCUGCCGAGAUAGAUUCUUUGAUCGAAAUGAAGUGAGCAACUUUUGCCAACUUGUCGAUGACGACAAAGAUGGCAUCGUUGCCUCUCUUGGACUUCGGAAACCCAAUGAUGAAAUCCAUCUCCACAUGAUCGAAUUUCUACUCGGGUAUGGGCAAAGUAUGAAGGAGGCCUGCUGGACUUUGAUGCUCCGCCUUCACUCUACGAGACACAUCACACUCGUUCACGAACUGAGCAAUUUCAAGUUACAUGCGAGUCCACCACAAGGUCUGCUUCAGAUCUGGAUACAUUUUGGAGCUACCUAGAGGUAUCAAGAGGAGGGAAUUAUGGGCUUCAUCCAUGAUAACUUUCCUGAGCUCUCAUUUCGGAAUGACAAGGCAGUCCUCGAAGAACAAGGUAUCUCUGUCAUCAACACGGAAGCACUUAUAUUUCGAAAUGCUCUUUGCCAAGCCAAUCUUCACUUUCUUCACCAUAGCAUCAAGAAGUUGAUCCUGACGGACUUGGUCUUCCAAGGUAGGAGAAAUGUGGAUAUUAGCAAGAAAUCCCUGAGGUACUAUCCGAAGGUUGAGCUUCCUCAAAGAUUCACAGAGAUAAGGCUGGAGAGGCUUCAGAAUGAGACUGUUGCAGUAAGCCUUUCUGCUCAAAGCAUCUGUAAUGACAUUUGCUUUGCGUGGAGUAUAGUCAAUGCUUGAAUUAUAAUCUUGGAUCAUCUCCACCAAACGAGUUUGACGAAGAUUGAGAUUAGGUUGAGUGAAGAUGUAUUUGAUACUCUUGUGAUCAGUGUAGACUUCAACCUGUCUGCCCAACAAGAGGUGUCCCCAAGUAAACAAAGUAUGGACCACUGCCGCCAACACAAGAUCAUGAGUGGAGUAGUUUUUCUCACUUGGCUUCAACUUCCUCAAGGUAUAAGAAACCACUUUCUUCUCUUGCAUCAGGACUGCACCAAGAUCUUGAAGAGAGACAUCACAGAACACUUGAUAAGGCUUGGAAUCAUCACGAGGAGUCAAGACUGGAGUUGAGGUGAGCUUAUCUUUGAGUGUAUCGAAUGCCAGCUAACACUCUGUGGACUAGACAUACUUCACACUCUUCUGAAUAAGGUUGGACAGAGGCUUCGCAAUCUUGGAGAAGUUCUCAAUGAAUCUUCUGCAAUAGCUUGCAAGCCCGAGAAAGCUUCGAAGGCGUUUCACAUUCUGAGGAGGCUGCCACUGUACAAUGGCCUGAAUCUUAACAAGAUCCACCUUGAUGCACUCGGAAGAGAUGAUGUGCCCAAGGUACACAUCUUCCUUCAACCAGAAUUCACAUUUGGAAAACUUAGCAUAGAUCUUAUGCUCUUUUAGCUUAUCAAGCACAAGCAGGAAAUGUUCUUCAUGCUCUUCCCCCAUUUUAGACUAGACCAGAAUGUCAUCAAGAUACACCAAGACAAAUUCAUUCUUGAAGGGGGAGAAGAUAUAAUUCAUCAUUUGAGAGAAAGUCGGAGGAGCAUUGGCGAGACCAAAAUACAUCACUCUGUACUCAUAAGAGCUAAACCUUGUCCUGAAGGUAGUCUUGGGUAUAUCUUCUUUGCGAAUGCGGAUUUGAUGAUAGCCCAUACAGAGAUCAAGCUUAGAGAAAAUCUUGGCCCCUUUCAAUUGCUCAAACAAUUCAUUGAUGUUGGGAAGUGAAUACAUGUUCCUGAUUGUCUUCUUAUUCAGUGGACGGUAAUCGAUACAGAGUUAGUCCGUGCCAUCCUUCUUCUUGACAAACAGAAUACCACAACCCCAAGGAAAUGAACUUGGUCUGAUCAUAACCACACGUUCUUUCUCAUCAAGCUGCUUCUGCAACUCUUUCAGCUCUUCGGGACCAAGUUUAUACGGACGCUUGCAGACGGGUUCAGUUCCAGGUUCAAGUUCAAUUACAAACUCAACUGCCCUGUGCGGAGGCAUUCCUGUAAAUUCUUGUGGAAAGCCAUCUUCAUACUGAUAGACCACCAGAACUUGAGAAAUGGGUGAGAUUUCGCCCUUCUCAUUGAGGGAAAAGACACGGAUCAUUUCAUCGCGAGCAACGAAAAUGAUCAAGUCCUCUGAAGGAUGAGUCAACUUGACUUCUUUGGCUUCACAAUCAAUAAACGCCUUGUUCAUUGCUAGAAAAUCCAUGCCAAGGAUGAGAUCAAUAUCCGAAUUGCCAAGGACAAUUGGAGAAGCCAGAAAGGAAUAACUGCCCAUCUUGACAGAAGCAUUUUGAACAAACCCAUUUGAAGUCAUUUGCAUGCCCGGAGAAAUGAUUUUAAACGGCUUUGGGGUGUCCUCUAUCACUAAAUCAUGCUUAGAAACAAAAGGCCUCAAAAUGAAUGAAUGCGAUUCACCAGAAUCAUAUAAAACUUUGGCAGGAAUAGAGUUAACCAAGAGAUUACCCAUGAUCACAUAUGAGGAGUUCUGUGCUUCAGCUGCAUUCACCAUGUUCACCCUUGUAGUUCUUGGAUUAAACUUCACCAUUGCAUUGCUUGGAGGCCUGAUUGCAGGAGGAUGUGGAAGACUGUAACACCCUAAAAAUCGGGUUAUCGAUUUUUGUGCUGUUAUUCCUUCCUAGCUUUUCUCUCCCAAAUUUUUCCUCUGGAAUUUGUCAAAUGACGAGGUGAAUCCAGUCUAUCCUCAAUCUCUCACUACCUUUCCCAUGUCCUUGUCCCAUCUUGCCCUUGUUCGUUAAACCCCGAACCUCUUUGAAACCCUAGCUCCGAAAUAUUGGAAUUGGGAAUCCUGCCCUUGUGUUUGCAAAGGAGCCAUCAUUUCCCUUGCUCUGAUCAUUCUUCAAUUAUUCCCAGAGAUCAUUCUUCCCUCAUAGACUCUAGAUGUGCAAAAAUAUUGCCAAGUUAGCUACAAUAUUUCUCUUCUAGAAUUAAUUCCCGUUUCUGCCUUUCUGAGGAAUUAAAUCCAAGAAAAUGUCUAUCCAUCUCCCAAGGUCAUGAAAACUUGUAGAGAUAUUCUUUGUGAUCAUAUGAAGCUCUCAUAAAAUAUUGGCCAUCACUAAGUAUGGAAAAGUGCCUUUUUCCAAUUUAAAGCCAAUAUUCCAAUUUGGGGCCUUUUCAAAGGAACUACCAUUUUGGUAGCUAGGAAAAAUCCCAAAUAAUUUGUGGAGCUUCCCAUAUCCAUAUAUUCAUCCUUUCCAUCAAAAUAUCAAGUUCCCCAAUUCAAAAAUUGAGCACACCAUCCCUUUGCAGAUUCUGUCCAGAUUUUCUAUUUGCAAAGGAAGUGCUUGAUUCCUUGUUUCCCUUGAGCUGAAAUUUUGCAGAGUAGUUCAUUAUGAUAAAUAAUCCUUGUUCACCAAAAUUUAGCCCAUUCCAUCAAUCCAUUCUUCCUUAGUAAAUUAUUUAAGAUUUUGUCCAGAUUGGAGCACUGUGAAGGAAGUACCAUUUAUAUUUGUGAACAUGGUAUGAAACUUUUAAAGUGACUUCAUAUGCCCAAAUGAAGAGUCUCAUCCAAGUUUCAGCCAAUUCCAUUUAGCUAAUUAACCCGAGCAUCAUCUUCUCUAUUUCUGGCCAGUAUGCCAACUUACAAAGGAAGUACCCUCUAGACUUAUUGGAUUGUGCUAAAUUUUGGCCAGGACAGUGACCUUAGUGAGUGGUCAACCUCAUCCAAAUAUCAUGCCAAGAGGUGCACUGUGGUGGCCACACCAGAGCAGAAACACCUUGUUGUUGGAAACUAUUUGGCCUUAGUUUGGUCACAUCAUUGCUCCCCAGUGCUAUCCUGAUUUAUAGGUCAACUCAGAAUAAUGUGUAGAUAAGCCUAGAUAUGAUUUGAGAGCUUGUGGGGCAUGGCAAUGUCGUGGCACCGUGGUGACCACGUGCAGAGCGUGUGAAAACAUGGCUCUGUGCGUUUGAGUAGACGGGAGCUUGUCUCCAGCAGGUUCUAACUUGUCCGGGAGUGUAGUAGAGUUUCUCCCGGCGUGCGCAAACCCUCUAGAGCCCUCUCCCCCUCAUCCCCUUGCCCCUGGAGGUGUAUGCCGAGGGAAUACCGCCAUGGAUUCUCGGAGCAUCUCCCGGCAUCGCGAGAGCCCCUCUCCGCAGCUAUAUUAGGGCGUGCCCGAGCCAUUGACGUUCUCGAGCAACCUCCCAAGCCCCUCCCUAAGCCCUCUGGUGAUCCCUAUGGCCGAAUGCUCGAGCAUCCGCCGUCAGAUCCCCAUGGCAAUAUUGGCUCCAGAGCUCUCCCCCUCUCCUCUAGUCAUGGUCACAUCAUCCCCAAGUGCUGGUGAAGCCGCCGUCGAUCUCCAUUUCUCCGGGGAAGCCUCGAGGCACCGACGUCACGGGCGCUCGUCGGCCACCGCGUCCCAUCCAGCCGUGGUGGCACUGUGGUCCACCUCCAGCCACCCUGUGACCCCCUCCCUGUGCGCGGCGAGGAGUAGCGGAGUCCCCACGCUUGCUGGCCGGUCCUCCCGCGGUCGCUAGCUGCCGGCUGACCAGCGACCCGAUCUCUUCUGUCCCCGCGGCGAGAGGAAGAAGAAGCUAGGAGGAGGAGAGAGAGAGAGAUGGGGUAGGGCCCUCGUGUAAUAGGGAGAGAAGACGCUUCGAGCUAAGUGUAAAAAUAAACGUAGAAUUGAAGCAUCGAUGGCCGAGGCAUUCAUUACUGAGGAGGCGGCAAACUUCAUGACAGCACACUACGAAGCCAAAAAUCAUCAUUUGCAUAACCCGAAGCCUCGGUAAAAUGAUGGCGAUCGAAAAAAAGUUCGAUCCAACCUCAGCCUAUUCAAAGGUAAGCUCGCACCAUCCGGUGCUUCCAAUGGGAAAUCGUUGGAUGUCGAAGAAUGGCGGACCAUUUCAUUGUAUAUUUUCACCAACCUAACAGAAGUGCGGCCGUACAUUGAGUAAGUUCUCGGUAAUUUAUUGUUCCGCAACUUCUAAUUGCUUUGAACUACUCUUAUUCUCGGAUAUUUGAUAUAGUCGAUACGUUGCCGAAUUCUCGGAUGGAGCGGUCAUCGAAAAGGAUUCCGUCGAAGAGUAUGAGCUUCUCGCAAAGCAUGGAGGCGACUGUCCCGGUUUCAUGUCUUGGUUCCAACAAAGGGUAAUUAAUUACCAUUAAGGGCCCAUUUGAUUUCUUGGUCUAAUUUGCGGCUAAUGCAUCCAUUCUUUUGUAUUAAACUUGUAGGCUGAUGCAGAGUCCAUGGACGCCGAGUUGAGACAAGUCGCUAAUGGUUUUGACUAUAAGGUCCGUUCAUUUGACAAAUACAACAUCAACGGGUAUCACUUUCGUACCUUUGGCAAAGAGCUAUCUAUGCCCAACCUAAAGUCUACAAAUUGUUCUGUCUCUGCUAUCGGCGAAGGAGACACCGAGUAUUAUGGAAGAGUUGAAGCAAUUUAUGAACUUCUAUUCUAUGAUGAAAACCCACCGACCGUCGUAGUCUUCAAAUGUUAUUGGUUUGAGCCGAGGAAGACUAGAAGGACUCAUGAACAUAUAGGACUAGUCGAAAUCAACCAAAACACCCACUUAGAUGUUCCCGAUGUCUAUAUUACGGCUCAACAAAUGACACAAGUUUUCUAUCUACCGUGGGCCUACCAAACUGAUCCAAAUCUCAAAGGUUGGGAUGUCGUUUAUGAAGUGCCACCACAUUUUAGACCACCUACCGCCAAUGAAGAGGAUUACGAACCUCACAUUAACCCAGACACAUAUGAAGGAUAAUUCUUCCAAGAAACACGUAUGUCCAAGAAACGUUUCAAGAACCGCUCUACUUCACCCCAGAACAUUGAAGUAGACAGCGACAGUGAAUCCGUCUUAACCCCUGAGCCCGAACAGGAAGAGCUGGAAGAAGAAGAGGUUACUGCUGCGGAUGAUCUGUCACUUCUUGACCGAUUACAUAAUGGUGGCCUUCCACAUGUUCUUCAUGAUAGUGAUGAUGAUGAUGCAUUUAUUGAUGAUAGUGAUGAUCAUGAUGCAUUUAUUGACCCCGAAGCAUAUAUAGACGAGCACGAUUAUUAUUAGUUCAUGUCAGGUAUUCAACUAUUAUACUAUAUAUAAAUUUUGAGUUCAUGUUAGGUAUUCAAUUUUUAUUAGUCAUGUUCGUAUUUAUGACUAUGAUACACUUAAAUUAUAUACAUUUUAUUAGUCCUGUUGGUAUUUAUGUUGUACUAAUUUCAUUUACUCUUUGUCAUGACAGGUGUUGAAAGAUGGUGGGAAAGGGUCGAAAGCACUCUGCGGCUCCUUCUUCGUCGGCGGGUGAUGGGAUGGGUACUUCCAUUCCUGCCUCGCCUCUUCGGAGAGUGUUGCUCUCUACUAUGCAAGGAGCGCCCCCCGUGAGAGGAGGUCGACCCCCCGUGAAGCCGAGAGGCACUAAAGGUACACGUUGUAUUCAUGUUGGUAUUUAUGUUGUACUCAUGUUGUAUGCAUAUUGGUAUUUAUAUACAUUUUAUUACUUAUGUUGGUAUUUAUGUUGUACUAAAGGUACACGUGGCCGCGGGAGAGGUAGGGCGGUGGCUGCCACACCUUCUGAGGUGGCGGCUACACGGUCUCCGCCACCACCCCAAGCUGAUUCACCUAAGCGCAGGACUUCUAGGGUGGAUUUGUCUGAGGUGGAGGCUACACGGUCUCCGGUUCACGAGCCUCGGGUCGACGAGCCUCAGGUCGACGAGCCUUCGACCCAUGAGACUCGUAUCCUAGAGGCUUCCUUCCAGGCGACUCCGGAGCAAAGCAUGGAUGAGGGUACGUCCCAAGAGACCCAGUGUGAUGCUGGUAGAGACGUGGAGCUGGGUGAGGGGGCUACCGUCUACCAGCGUUGUAGUUCGGGGCUCCCGCUCAUGCCAGCGACCCCCGAGCAGAGGUGGUCGAUUAGGCCAAAUGGGGACAAGUAAGUUAAUUUACUCUUAUUUAACCUUUUGCCUUCGCGUUUUCUCAAAUAUCUAAUGUUUUGGCUUUAAUUUGUCAUACUGUAGGGGUUGGAUUGUUGCCAAGGGUGUCCGCAAGCCCAACAGCGUCCUUGGUGUUAUUUGCCGUAAAAACUUCCCAGGGUUUGUUACGUUGCCCGGUCGGGAGCGAGAGGUAGGAAUGACCUGGGAGCACUACUUGGGUGCCCCGGCCCCGCCGGAGGUGGAGAUCAACGGUGUUUUGUGCGACACGAGGGCGGACAUGGUGAUCCGAAAGUUCUGGGAAAUUUCUCCUUCACACAAUUAUAAAUCAACUAUAGCUAUUUAUUGUACUAAUCGGUGUUGUAUCGUUUGCAGACCUACUACAGGUGUGAGGAGGGAUACGAGGAGGACGCGACAAAGAUCAUCGAAACCGAAUGUCGGCGCCUACUUCAAAACUUUCGGCACGAGGCUCGGGUGCAGGCUGUUCGAGACUACUAUGCCACGCGGCGUAUUAGGCUUGACAAGGCGAAGUGCCGUGAUUCUAAGAUGGAGAAGGAGCAUUACAUGAAGGUAAUUACAUAUUAUUAAGGCUUUGUAGUUAGUUUCCUUGAUUUGGUUCUUACGCGCUCAAAUUUCUCUUUAUUAACUUAGGUGCCCCCAAGAUGGUGUGUGGAUAAGAUGGAUUGUUGGGAGGCCUUGGGGGAUCAGUGGUGCUCCGAAACGUGGGAGACUAGCCACAACAACGCCAUGGAGAGCCGUGGCAAAAUGGUUGGCGUGCCACACCAUCAAGGGAGCGUCAACUUAAUCCAAUUUGGCGAGAACUGGGUAUGUGGUUUGCUUCAUGCCUCAUGCAAUUCAUUCUCAAUGCUAUCUUGAGCCCUUUACUAAUAAAAUUUCCUCUCUCUCUCUUUUAGGCACGUCACAAUAAGACGGAGGCGCCAUAGAUGUACGACCUGUAUGCGAUGGCCCAUAGUGCCUCGUACAAGAAGGUCAAGGCAUUCUCUGAGUAUGACCUCGAGCAUCCAGAAAACUUCACCAACAUCUCCUCCCACCACAAGCUCGUGAAGUACAGAGAUCACGGGAAGGCGAGGAAAGUGGAGGACUUUAACCCGAGCGAGGGGCCUAUUGAUCCAGAGCUGGUGAUGAUAGCUGGCAACGGGAGGCCCCAUGGCUCGAUCGCCAUUGGAGACGGCCUUAUACGUUGUCCUAGCACUCUUCGGCAGAUAAAGGCACGCCAAACGAGCUCUUGUCCGGAGAUAACACGUCGUCCACGGCCAGUCGACUAUCUUUCCGCAUUGUGUUGUGCGUUGGAACCAAUAUGAUUACAUUGCUAACAAUGAGUUGUGUUGCAGGCUGCUAUUCGGAAAGAGAGAGAGGCAAUGCAGGCGGCUAUGGCGGAGAAGGAUAAGGAAAUUAGGGAGCUGGAGGAGAGGAUGAUUGCAUUGGUGGAGGCGGAGAGGGCACAGAAUGAUGCAUCUAACAGGGCCAUAUACGAGCUCUUCGUGGUAAGUUUCUUCUUCAUUUUAUUUCAAAUCUUGCAUUUGAAUGUCCGUUUCAUUAAUAAAUAAAAAAUUUGACUUGUCGAAACCAAAUGUACAGUCUAUGUGCGAGAAGAACGACCAAGUCCCUCCGCCGAUGCCAGUCAUUAACGUGGCGGGGACAGUGAGUUUCAUUUCAGUGCACUGAUCUUAAGAGUGUCCUCAUGCUAACUACACAUUGCAAACGAUGUUUGGUGCAGAAUAUCUCCCGAAACGCAUCGCACGACCCUUCUACAGUCGAGCCUUCUCUAGAGCAGCCUUCUCCAGGUGAAACAAGCCACAAUCACCGUGCUUCACCGUUGUGAUGACGAUAAUGGUAUGUUAUUUCUAGUGUUUUAAUAAAAAAUAGCUAGACUUCCAUCUAAAUGACAUAAUUAGCUUAGUUAGCUCCAAGAAAGGCUAAAUUGGCUAAUUAUCCUACAAAAUGACAUAAUUAGCUUAGUUAGCUCCAAAAUGACCUAUUUAAUAAAAAAUGACCUAUAGUUAGCUAAAUUCUCUCCUAAAUGUUGGGGAACGUCGCAAAGGAAACAAAAAAUUUCCUACGCGCACGAAGACUUAUCAUGGUGAUGUCCAUCUAUGAGAGGGGAUGAGUGAUCUACGUACCCUUGUAGAUCGUACAACAGAAGCGUUAGUGAACGCGGUUGAUGUAGUGGAACGUCCUCACGUCCCUCGAUCCGCCCCGCGAACAAUCCCGCGAUCAGUCCCACGAUCUAGUACCGAACGGACGGCACCUCCGCGUUCAGCACACUUUCAGCUCGAUGAUGAUCUCGGCCUUCUUGAUCCAGCAAGAGAGACGGAGAGGUAGAAGAGUUCUCCGGCAGCGUGACGGCGCUCCGGAGGUUGGUGAUGACCUUGUCUCAGCAGGGCUCCGCCCGAGCUCCGCAGAAACGCGAUCUAGAGGAAAAAACCGUGGAGGUAUGUGGUCGGGCUGCCGUGGAAAAGUCGUCUCAAAUCAGCCCCAAUACCUCCGUAUAUAUAGGUGGGAGGGAGGGGACCUUGCCUUGGGGCUCAAGGAGCCCCAAGGGGGUCGGCCGAGCCAAGGGGGGAAGGCUCCCCCCCAAACCGAGUUGGACUUGGUUUGGUGGGUGGGAGUCCUUCCCUUCCUUCCCACCUCCCUUUUUUUUCUUUCUCUUUGAUUUUUAUCUCUAUGGCGCAUAGGGCCCUUUUGGGCUGUCCCACCAGCCCACUAAGGGCUGGUGCGCCACCCUUAUGGCCUAUGGGCUUCCCCGGAGUGGGUUGCCCCCCCGGUGAACUUCCGGAACCCAUUCGUCAUUCCCGGUACAUUCCCGGUAACUCCGAAAACCUUCCGGUAAUCAAAUGAGGUCAUCCUAUAUAUCAAUCUUCGUUUCCGGACCAUUCCGGAAACCCUCGUGACGUCCGUGAUCUCAUCCGGGACUCCGAACAACAUUCGGUAACCAACCAUAUAACUCAAAUACGCAUAAAACAACGUCGAACCUUAAGUGUGCAGAUCCUGCGGGUUCGAGAACUAUGUAGACAUGAUCCGAGAGACUCCUCGGUCAAUAUCCAAUAGCGGGACCUGGAUGCCCAUAUUGGAUCCUACAUAUUCUAUGAAGAUCUUAUCGUUUGAACCUCAGUGCCAAGGAUUCAUAUAAUCCUGUAUGUCAUUCCCUUUGUCCUUCGGUAUGUUACUUGCCCGAGAUUCGAUCGUCAGUAUCCGCAUACCUAUUUCAAUCUCGUUUACCGGCAAGUCUCUUUACUCGUUCCGUAAUACAAGAUCCCGCAACUUACACUAAGUUACAUAGCUUGCAAGGUUUGUAUGUGAUGUUGUAUUACCGAGUGGGCCCCGAGAUACCUCUCCGUCACACGGAGUGACAAAUCCUAGUCUUGAUCCAUACUAACUCAACUAACACCUUCGCAGAUACCUGUAGAGCAUCUUUAUAGUCACCCAGUUACGUUGCGACGUUUGAUACACACAAGGCAUUCCUCCAGUGUCAGUGAGUUAUAUGAUCUCAUGGUCAUAGGAAUAAAUACUUGACACGCAGAAAACAGUAGCAACAAAAUGACACGAUCAACAUGCUACGUCUAUUAGUUUGGGUCUAGUCCAUCACGUGAUUCUCCUAAUGACGUGAUCCAGUUAUCAAGCAACAACACCGUGUUCAUAAUCAGAAGACACUGACUAUCUUUCGUCAACUGGCCAACCAACUAGAGGCUUGCUAGGGACGGUGUUUUGUCUAUGUAUCCACACAUGUAAAUGAGUCUUCAUUCAAUACAAUUAUAGCAUGGAUAAUAAACGAUUAUCUUGAUAGAGGAAUUAUAAUGAUAACUAUAUUUAUUAUUGCCUCUAGGGCAUAAUUCCAACACUAAAUGACAUAAUAAGGCUUACGUAGCUGCAAGAUGACCUAUUCCCCCUAACUUAGGUAUUAAAUGGCCUAUAAUUAGCCUACCUAGAUCCAAAAUGGCUUAAUAAGCAUAGUUUGCUCCGGAAUGACCUAUUUUACCCAAGUUAGCUCCGAAACGACGUAUAGUUAGCUAGGGUUCCACCUAGAUGAAAUAAUUAGCUUAGUUAGCUCCUAAAUGGUCUAUUUAAUAAAACAUGACCUAUACUUACCUAAUUAUCCUCGAAAUGACAUAAUUAGCUCCAAAAAGGGAUUCUAAGCCAAUUUAGCCCGAAGAAGGGGACAAGAGGAGAAGAAAGAGGAAAAAUGAAAGGAAGGAAGAAUAAGAAGAGGAGAAGAAGAAGAAGGAGAGGGAGGAGGAUAAGAAGAAGGAGAAGAAGGAGGAGAAGAAGAAGAAGGAGCUCCUCCUUCUCCUUCUUGUUCCUCCUUCUUGUUCCUCCUUCUUCCUCCUUCUCCUUCUCCUUCUUCUUUUCUUCUUCUUCUCCUCUUCCCUCUCCUUCUCCUCCUCCUCAUACUUCUUUUAAUUCUUCUUCUCUUUCUCUUCUUCUACGUAGCUUAGACUCAUCCAAGAAAGGCUAAAUUGGCUAAUUAUCCUACGAAAUGACAUAAUUAGCCUAGUUAGCUCCAAAAUGACCUAUUUAAUAAAAAAAUGGCCUACAGUUAGCUAAGUUCUCUCCUAAAUGACAUAAUAAGGCUUACGUAGCUGCAAGAUGACCUAUUCCCCYURACUUAGGUAUUAAAUGGCCUAUAAUUAGCCUAGCUAGAUCCAAAAUGGCUUAAUAAGCAUAGAUUGCUCYGGAAUGACCUAUUUUACCCAAGUUAGCUCCGAAACGACAUAUAGUUAGCUAGGGUUCCACCUAGAUGAAAUAAUUAGCUUAGUUAGCUCCUAAAUGGUCUAUUUAAUAAAACAUGACCUAUACUUAGCUAAUUAUCCUCGAAAUGACAUAAUUAGCUCCAAAAAGGCAUUCUUAGCCAAUUUAGCCUGAAGAAGGGGACAAGAGGAGAAGAAAGAGGAAAAGUGAAAGGAAGGAAGAAGAAGAAGAGAAGAAGAAGGAGAAGGAGGAGGAUAAGAAGAAGGAAAAGAAGGAGGAGAAGAAGGAGAAGGAGCUCCUCCUUCUCCUUCUUCUUCCUCCUUCUUCCUCCUCCUCCUUCUUUUCUUCUUCUUCUCGGCUUCCUUCUCCUUCUCCUCCUCCUCCUCCUUCUUUUACUUCUUCUUCUCUUUCUCUUCUUCUACUUAACUUAGACUCAUCCAAGAAAGGCUAAAUUGGCUAAUUAUCCUACGAAAUGACAUAAUUAGCUUAGUUAGCUCCAAAAUUACCUAUUUAAUAAAAAAUGACCUAGAGUUAGCUAAGUUCUCUCCUAAAUGACAUAAUAAGGCUUACGUAGCUGCAAGAUGACCUAUUCCCCCUAACUUAGGUAUUAAAUGGCCUAUAAUUAGCCUAGCUAGAUCCAAAAUGGCUUAAUAAGCAUAGUUUGCUCCGGAAUGACCUAUUUUACCCAAGUUAGCUCCUAAAUGACCUAUAGUUAGCUAGCGUUCCAUCUAAAUGACAUAAUAAGCUUAGUUAGCUCCUAAAUGGUCUAUACUUAGCUAAUUUCUCUCCGAAAUAACAUAUAUAUACACUUCUUCAUCUAAUAUUAUUCUUCUAACUUUCUUAUUUGUCAUUUUGCAGAUUACCUUCACUUCACGGGAAGCUUGGGUUAUAUUGAUGGAAUGCUUGAAGAUGAUUUCUUGUACCAUGGGUUGUACUGAAACUAUUGUAGUAUAUGGAUAUAUGUGAAACUUUGUAUGCAUGUGGAUGAAACUGGUGUAAUAUAUGCUUUGGUACGGAUGCAACUUGCAUAAUAUGUAUGCGCUAUGGAUGAGAGUUAUUUUAAUAUGGUUAUGAGUACGGAAAGAAAUUUAUUUAUGUCAAAUAUAUAUAUAUAUCCUGAUUAUUGUUAAAAAUGCUGGAUAUAAUAAAAAAUAAAUUAAAAUGGGGCAGAUUCCCCUCUUUGCCGUCCGCCCCCACAUGGCAAAGGGGUUUAGGCAGAAGGCAAAGGGGGGNNNNNNNNNNNNNNNNNNNNNNNNNNNNNNNNNNNNNNNNNNNNNNNNNNNNNNNNNNNNNNNNNNNNNNNCCCCUCUUUGCCGUCUGCCCCCACAUGGCAAAAGGGGGGGUGGGGCAGACGACAAAGGGGUGAAUCAGCCCCCUCUACUCCCCCCUCUUUGCCGUCUGCCCCCACAUGGCAAAGGGGGGGGACGACAGACGGCAAAGAGAGGGUGCCUACCGUUAACACUUAGCGGGGCCAUUGCAGUAUAUGCCGUCCUAGUUAAUUUGCCGUCCGCCCCCUCAUGGCAAAGAUUCUUUGUCGUCCGCUUUACAAAAGCAGACGGCAAAGAACCUCUUCACUGGAUUUUUUUACCGUCUAGUUUGCCGUCUGCUGACCGACGACAAAGCCUUUGCUGUCCGUGGUUCCCCCCUUUGCCGUCCGCCGUGGCAGACGGCAAAUUUCUGAAUUUCAGUAGUGUUUUGUUGAUAGGUGAAACUGGGUGGUAUGUAUUUGGCUACGAUAUAGUUUGCAUAAUCGGCAUACCACGGUGCACUAAGUGAAGUGCAGAUGACAUUUAAUUGCUCAUCAGGAAAGCUGUCAUCAAUUGGUAGUGGGUCAUCAAGGACAUUCUCUAGCCUAGACAAGUUAUCUGCUACAGGGUCAUCAGCACCUUUUCGGUCAACGACGUGCAAAUCAAAUUCCUGUAGCAGGAGAACCCAUGUGAUCAGCCUAGGCUUAGUGUCCUUCUUCUGCAUAAGGUACUUAAUAGCAGCAUGAUUAGAGUAAAUAGUGACUUUGGAGUCAACUAUGUAAGAUCUGAACUUUUCACAUGCAAACACGACUGCUAAAAAUUCCUUCUCCGUAGUGGCAUAGUUUCUUUGGGCACUGUCUAGAGUUUUACUAGCAUAGUGAAUGACAUUCAACUUCUUGUCAACUCUUUGUCCUAGAACAACACCAACAACAUAAUCACUAGCGUCACACAUGAUUUCAAAGGGCAAGUUCCAGUCAGGUGGUUGAACGAUAGGCGCGGUUAUCAAAGCCUUCUUAAGUAUUUCAAAGGCUUCCUCACAAUCCUCAUCAAAAACAAAAGGAACAUCCUUCUGCAAGAGGUUGGUAAGAGGCCUAGAAAUCUUAGAGAAGUCUUUAAUGAACCUUCUAUAGAAACCAGCAUGACCUAAGAAACUUCGUAUACCUCUGAUAUCUGUGGGGCAAGGCAUUUUCUCAAUUGCAUCAACCUUAGCCUUAUCAACUUAAAUGCCUCUUUCAGAGAUUUUGUGUCCUAAGACGAUACCUUCAUUAACCAUAAAGUGGCACUUCUCCGAAUUCAAGACGAGGUUGGUUUCUUCGCAUCUCUGUAAGACCCGAUCAAGGUUGCUGAGGCAAUCAUCAAAGGAAGACCCUUAAACGGAGAAGUCAUCCAUGAAAACCUCAACAAUCUUUUUGCAAAAGUCAGAGAAUAUAGCCAUCAUACAUCUUUGGAAGGUGGCAGGUGCAUUACAUAAGCCAAAAGGCAUACGUCUAUAGGCAAAGGUACCGAAAAGGCAGGUGAAAGUGGUUUUCUCUUGAUCAGAUUGCGCAACAGGUAUUUGCGAGAAACCUGAAUAACCGUCUAGAAAGCAGAAGUGUGUGUGUUUUUAUGGCCUUUCUAGCAUUUGGUCGAUGAACGACAAAGGAUAAUGAUCUUUCCUGGUUGCCUUAGUCAGUUUCCAGUAGUCUAUCACCAUUCUAUAGCCGGUAAUAAUCCUUUGUGGGAUUAGUUCAUCCUUAUCAUUAGGAACGAUGGUGAUACCUCCCUUCUUAGGUACGCAAUGUACUGGACUUACCCAAUCACUAUGAGCAACAUGAUAAAUGAUUCCUGCUUCCAAAAGCUUUAAUAUUUCUUUUCUAAGGACCUCUUUCAUCUUAGGAUUUAAUAUCCUUUGAUGAUCAGCAACUGGUUUAAAGUCAGGAUCGGUUUUAAUCUUGUGCUGACAUAGAGUACGACUAAUACCCUUAAGAUCAUCAAGAGUAUAUCCAAUAGCAGCGCGGUGCUUCCUCAGAGUUUUUAGUAACUUCUUCUCUUCGCGCUCUGAGAGGAGAGCACUAAUAAUGACAUGAUAUAUCUCCUUCUCAUCAAGAUAGGCAUACUUAAGAGUAUCAGGCAACUGUUUAAGCUCAAACACAGGAUCACCCUUUGGUGGGGGAGGAUCCCCAAGCAGUUCAACAUGCAGAUUAUUCUUGAGAAUAGGAUGUUGUUCUAAGACAAUUCUAUCUAUCUCAUCUCUCUCCUCCAUAUGCAUAUCAUUUUCAUGCUCAAGCAGAUAUUUCUCUAAAGGAUCCGUAGGAGGUACAUCAAUAGAGGCAAGAUCAAUGAUUUCAUCUCUACCAUACGACUCUCUUUCAUGGGUUUGUCUACCAAACUUGGAGAAGUUAAAUUCAUGAGACACACCCUCGAAACUUACUUUGACAGUCUGCUUAAUACAAUCAAUGUGAGAAUUGACAGUGUUGAGAAAGGGUCCACCGAAUAUGAUGGGACAAAAGCUAUCUUGUGAAGUACCAAGGACGAGGAAAUCAGUAGGAUACUUUGUCUUACCACACAAGACUUCUACGUCUCUCACAAUUCCCGGAGGGCAGAUAGUGUCUCUAUUAGCUAGCGUAAUAGUGACAUCAAUGGGUUCUAACUCAGCAGGUGCAAUCUCAUCCUUGAUUUCAUCAUAGAGAGAAUGGGGUAUUGCACUAACACUAGCUCCCAUAUCACAUAAACCAUGGUAACAGUGAUCUCCUAUCUUAACAGAAACAACGGGCAGGCCAACUACAGGUCCGUACUUGUCUUUCGCGUGAGGUUUAGCAAUUUUAGCGGAGUCCUCACAGAAUUUGAUAACAUGCCCGUCUAUGUCUUCGGCUAAGAGAUCUUUGAUAAUAGCAACACUAGGUUCAACUCUAAUCUCUUCAGGGGGUGCAAGUGGUCUAAUGUAACCCGUACGUAUCACAGUUGGAGCUUUAGAAUAAUCCUUCAUCCUAGCAGGGUAUGGUGGUUUCUCAAUGUAAGCACAAGGAACAAUAGGAUCACUAAAAGCUAUGAUUUUCUCCUCAACUAGAUUGGUUUUGGCUAUGUUGCUUUCUACAGGAGGAUGAUAUUUAAACCACUUCUCUUUGGGAAGAUCAACAUGAGCAGCAAAAGAUUCACAUAGAGAAGCUACUAUCUCAGAGUCAAGUCCAUACUUAGCGCUAAAAUCUCUAGAAGUGUUUUUCUAGACAAAAGAUUUAACACAAUCAAACUGGAAAUUCAUACCUGACUCCUUACCUUCCUCCAGCUCCCAAUCUUUAGAGUUGUGUUUGAUUCUCUCCAAUAAAUUCCAUUUGUGAUCAAUAUCCUUCUUCAUAAAAGAACCGACACAAGAAGUGUCAAGCAUGGUACGAUCUUCAUGAGAAAGUCGAGCAUAAAAGUUUUGAGUGAUGAUUUCUCUCGAGAGCUCAUGAUUGGGGCAUGAAUAUAUCAUUGAUUUAAGCCUCCCCUAUGCUUUCCCUGUCACGAGGCCAAAAGUUAUAAAUAAAGUUCCGAUCACGAUGUACUAAAUGCAUAGGAUAGAACUUUUGAUGAAAUUCCAAUUUCAACCGAUUGUAGCCCCAUGAUCCAGCAUCAUCACAUAGCCUAUACCAUGUCAACGCCUUAUCCUUCAAAGAUAAAGGAAAUACUUUCUUCUUUACCUCAUCCUCGGUCAAACCUGCAAGCUUAAAUAAACCACAAACUUCAUCUACAUAUAUUAGAUGAAAAUCUGGAUGUGAAGAUCCAUUUCCUGUAAAAGGAUUAGCCAGCACUUUCUCAAGCAUACCCAAAGGAAUUUCAUAAAAGAUAUUUUCAGUAGGUACCUCAGGUUGAGGAGAAACUCCUCGUGCUUCUGCUCGUGGUGAAGAUACCCCGAACAAACUCCUCAAAGGAAGAGUUUCCAUAGUGACAAGUGACAAUAAAUUUCAGCACAGUAUAUACAUGUUUCCUUACCAAUUUCCACUUACCAAAGGUGCUUCACUCCCCGGCAACGACGCCAGAAAAGAGUCUUGAUGACCCACAAGUAUAGGGGAUCAAUCGUAGUCCUUUCAAUAAGUAAGAGUGUCGAACCCAACGAGGAGCAGAAGGCUGUGAUAAACGGAUUUCUGCAAGGUAAUAACUGCAAGCACUGAAAGUAGCGGUGACAAUUGAUUGUGUAGCGAGGUGAAACGUAGCGAGAAAAAGUAACAAGUAAGAAGUAGUAGCAAUGGUGCAGCAAGUGGCCCAAUCCCUUUUGCAGCAAGGGACAAGCCUGAACAAAGUCUUAUAGGAGGAAAAACGCUCCCGAGGACACACGGGAAUUUCUGUCAUGCUAGUUUCAUCAUGUUCAUAUGAUUCACGUUCGUUACUUUGAUAGUUUGAUAUGUGGGUGGACCGGCGCUUGGGUACUGCCCUACUUGGACAAGUAUCCCACUUAUGAUUAACCUCUCUCGCAAGCAUCCAAAACUACAAAAGAAGAAUUAAGACAAAGUUUAACCAUAGCAUUAAACUAGUGGAUCCAAAUCAGCCCCUCACGAAGCAACACAUAGACUGGGGUUUAAGCUUCUGUCACUCCAGCAACCCAUCAUCUACUUACUACUUCCCAAUGGCUUCCUCUAGGCCCAAAUAUGGUGAAGUAUUAUGUAGUCGACGUUCACAUAACACCACUGGAGGAAAAACAACAUACAACAUAUCAAAAUACCGAACAAAUAUCAAAUUCACAUGACUAUUAUUAACAUGACUUAUCCCAUGUCCUCAGGAACAAAAGUAACUACUCACAAGACAUAAUCAUAAUCAUGACCAGAGGUGUAAUGAAUAGCAUCAAGGAUCUGAACAUAAACUCUUCCACCAAGUAAUCCAACUAGCAUGAACUACAAAGAGUAAUCAACACUACUAGCAACCUUACAAGUAUCAAUCGGAGUUGCGAGACGAAGAUUGGUUACAAGAGAUGAACUAGGGAUUGGAGAGCAGAUGGUGCCGAUGAAGAUGUUGAUGAAGAUGCAUCCCCUCCGACGAGAGGAGUGUUGGUGAUGACGAUGGUGACGAUUUCCCCCUCCGGGAGGGAAGUUUCCCCGACAGGAUCGUCCUGCUGGAACUCUAGAUUGGAUCGCCUCAUGUUCUGCCUCGUGGCGGCGGCGAAACCACGAAAAAGCUCCCUCUUGAUUUUUUCCAGACCAGGACGCUUCAUAUAGCAAAAGAGGGGGACUAGUGGGCCUUCAGGCAGCCCACAAGCUUGCUGACCACCACCAGGGGGGUGGUGGCGGAGUGGGGGCUUGGGGGGGCCCUGGUGGCCCCCCUCCGGUAGUUCUUUCGCCCAGUAUUUUUAAUAUAUUCCUGAAAAAAUCCACGUAAAUUUUCAGGGCAUUUGGAGAUGUGCAGAAUAGUGGACUAGGAUUUGCACCUUUUCCAAUCCAGAAUUCCAGGUGCCUGAAUUCUCCCUCUUCAAAUAAACCUUGCAAAAUAAGAGAGAAAAGGCAUAAAUAUGGUACCACAAGUAAUAUAACAGCCCAAAAAGCAAUAAAUAUCAACAUGAAAGCAUGAUGCAAAAUGGACGUAUCAGAGCCAUAAUACGUUUUCCCUGAAUUGAAAACGUACUGCAGCAAAUGCACUUUGUGUUUAAACCCCGCCAGCCGAAUCUGCUUUGUUGUAGACGUUCGCUAGUUAGCAGCAGAAAUGAAUACAUUUCUAUUUGUUUCUGUGCCUAACAAACGAACGGCCAUAACUUUUUUGCUCGUAGUUGCGGUUGAGUUAAAACCAGUGCCCACGUCUUCAUCUCGUCGAGCCCGUUUCGAUAAUAUGAUUUUCAUAAUAUGUCUGCACAGUGGAAAUGACUGUUUUGACCUUGCUCUCUAAUUGAGCCCUCCGAGAGGGAAACCUCUCCGGCAAAUCUUCCCGGUGUUUUAUCGUGCUUCUGCCUGGAGUAUUCGUCGACCCUCAGGCAAGCCAACCUCUUACCAUGAGUUUUGGUCUUGUGUGAUAACUUUGCUUGCAUUCUGUGUGUUUAUUUGUAUCACCUGUUAGCCUGCAUUUGCAUAUAACGGUGAUGGCAUUAGGACUAGUCACUAGUAUUACUUUUCAUCUAAUAUAUGCCCUCAAACCUUACUCUAUGAUGCUCUUACAUAUUAAAUUUAUAAUGCUUAUGUCCGAGUGUAUAGUGAUGUGUUGUGUGUGACUCUGACAAACCCUUGCUCGCAUUUUCUUCAAUAAUGGCACUAUGCCUGAGUCUGAGCUAUUUCCUGCGGUCCGAGGUGGAUGCCAAUUUUAUAUUCUUUUGUCAGCAGCUGUCCCGUGUUCUGAGCUUCUUUUCGACCGUCGUGGGCAACUCUUGAAUUUCUUUCCGUGGCGGUGACCCUAUGCUCUGAGUUGUUCUUCGGCCAUCUUAGGGAACUGCUACAUUCUUUUUAUCAACACCGUCUCAUGCUCUGAGCUGCUUUCCAACCGUCUUGAGUCACGGUUGAGUUAUUCCGGUAACGUCCCAGAUCUGUGUUGUAAAGAGCGUUCUGGUGGCUGCCAAUUUAUUUGCCGAUUUUAUGCGACGGUUCCGAAGGUCUAACUUAUAGCUAGAAUCUGUGAAGUAUUAGUUUCCCAGUUACAUUAUACUGUUGAAGAUUAUAGUCUAUGAUUACUUUGUAUUUCAUCCGACAGUUUAUGAAUAUGGUUUAACAGUAGUGGCUUGAUCUUAUUAAUUAUCGGACUGCUAUGACAUCGUAGUAUCAGCUAUGACAGAUAAUAUUCGGGAUAAGAUACCUAGUUGGUUGAUCGGAGUAACCUAUCCGGGCUCAUCAGUGCAACCACAUUUGCCGAUAUGGGACGGCCUUGACUUGGUUUGAUCGCGUGGUCUUUCACCGGUACCUCCAAAGAGGGAGGGUUAUGCAUGCGUGUUACCCUGAUCAGGUAGGCGGUGAUAAUCCUGUGAGCCAGUUGAGUUGUUUGUGCCGGCGUCCUGGAUGGGACAUUUUAGUUUGGCCACGAUGGUGGCACGUGUCAUAAGGACACAGGGCCACCCAGGGCACGACUCCGAGGGAGAAUGAUUGUCAGUGGUACGAUGAAAGAGUCACGGCUGAGGCAGGUUUCGUUGGAGCAACACUGGUCCACCCGAAUGGGAUCACAAGGUCAGUGCUCCAUAGUGUGGGUAAAGUGUGCAACCUCUGCAGAGUGUCACACCUAUUUGAAUAGCCGAGUCCAUGGUAUUAGAAAGCCCGACCAGACCUCAGUAGAUGGUCAACCAUAUUAGUGUUAGUAAUGAUGGUAGAACUCGUCUCGUGUGAACACCAGAGGAUGUUGAUAACAUGAGGUGUUGGCCAAGAGAAGGCUAUAUGAUGAAUGGUUAGAUGGCCAUGCGAUGGCAUUUGGAUCCGUUCCGAUCAGAUUACGAGUAUGUCGAGGGUUGUGGGACAACCCAGAAGAGAGUAAGUUGAUAUUCGGUGACAGUAAGCUGGUUAAGCACUUGUUAUGAUCCUUGCCAUGCUAGUGAGGUAGAUUACAUGUUUAUUCCAUGUCAUGCUGUGCUUGAUACAUAUUUUUCCUGUUAAUUCCAUUCCAUGCUUAGAAUAGAUAUUAUAUAAUUAUUAUGCUUGCUUUGUUAUCUGUUGUUUGGAUGUUAUGUAUUUGGUUGUCUUGCGAGUACAUUCAAAGUACUCACCUGGCCUAGCACGUGGCGAGUUGCAGGAGAAGACUCCUCGUGCUAGAUCGUAACCCAGCCAGUCCUGCGAGUUAUGGAGCCCAGCCAGGGACGUCGUUGCCGCUGUAUCAAGACCUGUGCUGUCAUUUAGUUAGCUUUGGAAUCAUGUAAUAUUGUUGUAAGGAACAGUAUUGUAAUAAUCCAUUAUAUUAAUAAAGCCAUUUUUGCCUGGAAUUGCUGUAUCAGGUCUUUGGCGUGCGUCCGGCAUUAUCCUGGGGACGGAUGUGCGUCGGCCCUCUAUCGGGUUGACACAAAGACGCCGCUAGCUGGUACACUUGUUAGAGUAGUGACCCUUCUGACCACACUUGUGACAAGUCACCUCUUACAGCGAACAUAAUUGGGGUUGAGGAUUUCCUUGCUUUUGAUGCUGAUACUUCUGCUGGAAAGCUGGGUUUGGUGGGUGGGAAGAACCACGACCACCAGACUGCUUGAACUGUUGAGGCUGCCGAGGAGGAGGAGAAACCUAGAACUUCUGCUGUUUCGUAACCACCAGAGUUGAGGAAUAGGAAUCGGAGUCUCUAAAAUGCUUCCUUGAGUUCUCAACUUUGAGCAAGGCUGACUCAUCACUAAGAUCCAAGUUGUAGAACUGGUCGAACUCAAGAGGAUCGUGCAAGGCAAGGGCCAACUACAAGUCUUACUUCAGACCACCACGGAACUAAUAAAUCUUGCUCUUCUGAUCUGGAAUGUCUUGCUUAGCAUAACAAGCUAGUUCCUGGAACUCCACAUUGUAGUUCUACACAUACAAACUCCCUUGCUUCAAGCGCUUGAAUUUCUCACGCAUCUUUUCCACAAAACUUGUUGUAAUAUAGUGAUCCUAAAAUCUCUGUAGAAAUCAUCCUAGCUAAUCACUCUGUCGCCUCUGGAAUCUUUCAAUUGUUGCCACCAUUAUGCUGCUUACCCCUUGAGUUGGAAAGUUGCAAACUUGACAAUGUCCUCUGGUGUGACAUUACUACACUCGAAGUGUUUGUUCAUGUCAUGGAGCCAGUCAUCCGCAUCAAAUGGCCGGUCAUAGGAGGUGAAGGACUUCGGACGAUUUGCCAAGAAUUGAUUCAAAGAAGCAAACUGCUAACCACCAUUGUUGAAAUUACCCUGUUGCCCUUGGUUCCUCUCUUGCAACAACUUGAGCAACAUUUGAGUGUUUCAUUGGUUGCCUCCAUCACAGCUUGCCAUGCCUCUUGAGGAGGAGGUGGAGGGGGUGGUGGAGGGUUUGAUUGUUCACCCUCAAGACCCGGAUUCUUCCAAGUUGGUGGAGCCAUCCUAGAGACGGACAACAACAUUAAACCAGAGAUGAAAAUUCAAAUAUGAAGCUGAUUCAAUGGACAAAAAUAUCUGAACAAGAAUUCNNNNNNNNNNNNNNNNNNNNNNNNNNNNNNNNNNNNNNNNNNNNNNNNNNNNNNNNNNNNNNNNNNNNNNNNNNNNNNNNNNNNNNNNNNNNNNNNNNNNAUUUGAGAAGGGAAGAAAAUAUUGGUUCCAACGUAGAAAUAUUUCUAGCUACCCAAACAACAACAUUUUCUAUCCCUUGAAAACAAAAAAGGAAUCCACCUAUUCACAAGAGUAUCAUGCUACAUAAAAAUUCCAGGCCAAAGUAAACAUAAAAAGCUAGAACUUUCAUGUUGGCACAAACUUCAUAGCAUGCAUAUAAUUAAUCCUAAAAAAAUAGACAAAAUGCCACCUCAUCACAAAAUGACAUUUUUUUAAACUUGCACAGAUGUGAAAUCCAAUGUCACCGUUGGAUUCCUUGAGAUUUUCUACCCCAUUUUCAUAUAUCACACUCAUAUACUUGCAUGUGUAAAACUACACAAAAAUAGAAAAGAAAAACCACUACAAAUCAUAACUCACUUGUAUGUCACAUCAGACCAAAUUUGGUAUAUGCCAGAUUUGGCAUAUUCCAUUUAUGGAAUUAUCCCACAAUAGAAUUAACACACCACACAAAAUAAAAUCACCACAGUAAUUAAUUUGAGAAGGGGUUCCCACUAGUCAUAGACACCAGGGGCCCGUAGUGCAUGACACGUGGGCCAGGCCCACUUGUUAGUGGCACAACUACAGAACACAACAAAGAAAUAAAAGGGUAAAACUACACAAAAACAGAAAAGAAAAACCACUACAAAUCAUAACUCACUUGUAUGUCACAUCAGACCAAAUUUGGUAUAUGCCAGAUUUGGCAUAUUCCAUUUAUGGAAUUAUCCCACAAUAGAAUUAACACACCACACAAAAUUAAAUCACCACAGUAAUUAAUUUGACAAGGGGUUCCCACUAGUCAUAGACACCAGGGGCCCGUAGUGCAUGACUCGUGGGCCUUGUGGCCCACUUGUCAGUGGCACAACUACAGAACACAAUAGAGAAAUAAAAGGGGAGUGUCGAGCCCACCACCUCCUGCUCUAACCAUAGUGCCCCCACCAUUGGGCUACACUAAUGUAGCUGCACUAACAGGGGGACGCGCCUUGCCUGCGGCUGCUGCGUGCGCCCAUCCGUGCGACCCAGCCAUCGCACGACUGUGGCUCCAUGCACGCCACGCUCCAGAAUUCCUGCGAAAAAAUAAAACAAAAUACACAUCCUAAUACAGAUUUUUU
Molecule: long non-coding RNA, 27136 nt
Filed under: Hordeum vulgare
Lineage: Eukaryota; Viridiplantae; Streptophyta; Magnoliopsida; Poales; Poaceae
Description: long non-coding RNA (HVUL_LNC007037)
Source: RNAcentral